GAUGAACGCUGGCGGCGUGCCUAAUACAUGCCAGUCGAGCGAACGGACGAGAAGCUUGCUUUUCUGAUGUUAGCGGCGGACGGGUGAGUAACACGUGGAUAACCUACCUAUAAGACUGGGAUAACUUCGGGAAACCGGAGCUAAUACCGGAUAAUAUUUUGAGCCGCAUGGUUCAAAAGUGAAAGACGGUCUUGCUGUCACUUAUAGAUGGAUCCGCGCUGCAUUAGCUAGUUGGUAAGGUAACGGCUUACCAAGGCAACGAUGCAUAGCCGACCUGAGAGGGUGAUCGGCCACACUGGAACUGAGACACGGUCCAGACUCCUACGGGAGGCAGCAGUAGGGAAUCUUCCGCAAUGGGCGAAAGCCUGACGGAGCAACGCCGCGUGAGUGAUGAAGGUCUUCGGAUCGUAAAACUCUGUUAUUAGGGAAGAACAUAUGUGUAAGUAACUGUGCACAUCUUGACGGUACCUAAUCAGAAAGCCACGGCUAACUACGUG
This 497-nucleotide ribosomal RNA is filed under the name uncultured bacterium. RNAcentral describes it as "partial 16S ribosomal RNA". It matches the Rfam family "Bacterial small subunit ribosomal RNA", at positions 28 to 507 of the family's 1533-position model. The record is from RNAcentral.